RNAcentral lists this ribosomal RNA (225 nucleotides) under Chloropicon laureae. RNAcentral's name for it is "partial Eukaryotic small subunit ribosomal RNA". It matches the Rfam family "Eukaryotic small subunit ribosomal RNA", at positions 969 to 1176 of the family's 1831-position model. The record is from RNAcentral. Lineage: Eukaryota; Viridiplantae; Chlorophyta; Chloropicophyceae; Chloropicales; Chloropicaceae.
UUCAUUAAUCAAGAACGAAAGUUAAGGGAUCGAAGAUGAUCAGAUACCGUCGUAGUCUUAACUAUAAACUAUGCCGACCAGGGAUAUGAGUUGUUAUGAAUGCAUUUACGUGUAUUCGAUUUCCUCUUGUGGACCUUGUGAGAAAUCAUAAGUCUUUGGGUUCUGGGGGGAGUAUGGUCGCAAGGCUGCAACUUAAAGGAAUUCACGGAAGAGCACAACCAGGAG